ACAGUAUAUAAGAGUUUGAUCAUGGCUCAGGACGAACGCUGGCGGCGUGCUUAACACAUGCAAGUCGAACGGUGAAGCCCUUCGGGGUGGAUCAGUGGCGAACGGGUGAGUAACACGUGGGCAAUCUGCCCUGCAUUCUGGGACAAGCCCUGGAAACGAGGUCUAAUACCGGAUACGACGCAUCCCCGCAUGGGGUGUGCGUGGAAAGCUCCGGCGAUGCAGGAUGAGCCCGCGGCCUAUCAGCUUGCUGGUGGGGUAAUGGCCUACCAAGGCGACGACGGGUAGCCGGCCUGAGAGGGCGACCGGCCACACUGGGACUGAGACACGGCCCAGACUCCUACGGGAGGCAGCAGUGGGGAAUAUUGCACAAUGGGCGAAAGCCUGAUGCAGCGACGCCGCGUGAGGGAUGACGGCCUUCGGGUUGUAAACCUCUUUCAGCAGGGAAGAAGCGCAAGUGACGGUACCUGCAGAAGAAGCACCGGCUAACUACGUGCCAGCAGCCGCGGUAAU
Molecule: ribosomal RNA, 510 nt
Filed under: uncultured Streptomycetaceae bacterium
Lineage: Bacteria; Bacillati; Actinomycetota; Actinomycetes; Kitasatosporales; Streptomycetaceae
Description: bacterial SSU rRNA
Rfam family: Bacterial small subunit ribosomal RNA
Source: RNAcentral